GCCGUGCACAGAGUUGCUAGUAGAGGUGCAGAAACAUCGAUGUUAUCGAUGUUUGCCAAUCAUCGGAACCAUCGAUGGUUUGUGAGCCACCAUCAAUGUUUUUUCAAACAACUCUGGACUUAGUGGCAGCAAACAAAUAAAUUGUUUCUAGUCGUGGUGUUGGUUAAUGUGGAUGGAUGAAGGAUGGACAACUACCUGAAAAGAGCGGGAUCGUCAAAUUCUUUAGAGUUUGAGACAGAAGCAAAACGGAAAAGAGCGUUCGAUUGCUUGGGACCAUUUCAAAAAAAGCACUGGCAUUUGCAACUACUGUGGUAAAUGGCUGAACACCAGUGCCAAUACCACAAACCUGCUUGACCAUCUCAAACAAAGCACUAUAGCCGCUGCAAAGUUAAAACAAGCACAGACAACUGAAAAGCCGCUCACAUUAAUACAGGAAGUUGCAACAAGAUGGAACAGCGCUUAUGAGAUGAUUAAAGGGUUGUUAAAGCUGAACGAAUGCGUUACUCUCUUCAGAAGCUGUGUGGACUUAUAAAUAAAAAUUCACAUUUCA
Molecule: long non-coding RNA, 550 nt
Organism: Drosophila albomicans
Lineage: Eukaryota; Metazoa; Arthropoda; Insecta; Diptera; Drosophilidae
Exons: 3
Source: RefSeq, a predicted model, not a curated record